GUACAUAAUACUUAAUUCCUG
RNAcentral lists this transfer RNA (21 nucleotides) under Camelus dromedarius (Arabian camel). RNAcentral's name for it is "partial tRNA-Trp". Lineage: Eukaryota; Metazoa; Chordata; Mammalia; Artiodactyla; Camelidae. The record is from RNAcentral.